RNAcentral lists this non-coding RNA (740 nucleotides) under Monolepta hieroglyphica. Lineage: Eukaryota; Metazoa; Arthropoda; Insecta; Coleoptera; Chrysomelidae. The record is from RNAcentral.
AAAAUUUAAUUUUAGUUUUAAAAUUAAAUAUUAUUAUUUAUUAAAUAUAAAUUUUAUUUAAGAGGAAAAAGUAGUAAUUAGAAUUAAUUAUUAAGGAAAUUUAGAAUUAGAAAAUAUAAUAGUAUUAACUUAAUUUGUGCCAGCAGUUGCGGUUAUACAAAUAUUACAAUUUAAUUUUAUUAAUAUUAAUUAAUUUUUUAUAAAUUAAUUUUAUUUAAAAAUUUAUUAAGUGAAAUUUUAAAUUUUUAAAAAAUUAUUUUUUUUAAAAUGAAGUUAAUAAAAUUUAGUAUUAAACUAGGAUUAGAUACCCUAUUAUUUAAAAGAUAUAUAAAAAUAUUGAAUGAUUAUAAGAUAUAUUCUUUAAAAUUAAAAAUUUUGGCGGUAUUUUAGUCUUUUCAGAGGAACCUGUUCUAUAAAUGAUAAUCCACGAUUUAAUUUACUUUUUUUUUUAAUUUAUAUAUCGUCGUAAUUAAAUAUUUUUAUAGAAUUUAAAUAUUUAAGAUUUUUAAUUUGAAUAUAAAUCAGAUCAAGAUUUAGUUUAUAAAAAAGUAGAAAUGGGUUACAUUAAAUAUAUUUUUAGAUUAAUUAUAUUAUUAUAAUUAUAAAAUUGGAUUUGAAAGUAAAUUUAAUUAAUUUAUUAAUUUGAUUUAGCUCUAAAAUAUGUACAUAUUGCCCGUCGCUUUCAUUUAAUGUGAAAUAAGUCGUAACAAAGUAGAUUUACUGGAAAGUGAAUCUAGAUU